Molecule: ribosomal RNA, 253 nt
Filed under: uncultured bacterium
Lineage: Bacteria
Description: partial 16S ribosomal RNA
Rfam family: Bacterial small subunit ribosomal RNA
Source: RNAcentral
UACGAAGGGAGCUAGCGUUGUUCGGAAUCACUGGGCGUAAAGCGCACGUAGGCGGAUGUGUCAGUCAGGGGUGAAAUCCCGGAGCUCAACUUCGGAACUGCCUUUGAUACAGCACGUCUUGAGUCCGAUAGAGGUGGGUGGAAUUCCUAGUGUAGAGGUGAAGUUCGUAGAUAUUAGGAAGAACACCGGUGGCGAAGGCGGCCCACUGGAUCGGUACUGACGCUGAGGUGCGAAAGCGUGGGGAGCGAACAGG